GGUUGUAGCUCAGUGGAGAGCACUUGCCUAGCAUGUGUGAGGCACUGGGUUCAAUUCUCAGCACCACCU
This 69-nucleotide transfer RNA is filed under the name Marmota monax (woodchuck). It matches the Rfam family "tRNA". Rfam says of the family: Transfer RNA (tRNA) molecules are approximately 80 nucleotides in length. Their secondary structure includes four short double-helical elements and three loops (D, anti-codon, and T loops). Lineage: Eukaryota; Metazoa; Chordata; Mammalia; Rodentia; Sciuridae. The record is from Rfam by way of RNAcentral.